Anas platyrhynchos (mallard) is the source of this 3022-nucleotide non-coding RNA. The record is from RefSeq and is a predicted model, not a curated record. NCBI's taxonomy places the organism in Eukaryota, Metazoa, Chordata, Aves, Anseriformes, Anatidae.
CUGAAGCAGCAGAAAAGGAGUGUGUGUCAGUGGAGAGAGGCAAAGAGAGAGCUGAGAUUGUUAAAGAAGAGAAAAUGAUCGUUACAGAUGUUGUCUGAAUAAGCAUCACAUGAGGUUUUUCAUUUGAUCAGGAAAGGCAGAGCUGAAGAAAAGGUCUGGAAAUCAGCCCGUCUUCAUUUUGGACCUGUUAUGCCCACUGGGGGAGAGGGUGAGGACAAGCAAAGAAUGGGAUAUUAAUGACUUUCCCAUCGCACCUGGAGCAGAACUGGAACACAGUAUGCUGGCUGCUCGGGAAGUGCGCUGAGAUUUCUCCUACAGACUUAGAUUCUAAUUUCAUUUCUAAUUUGGAAUGGCUCCCAGUGCUCUGCAAGGCCUGUCUAAAUGACUAGAAGAGGCAUUGCAUAGGAUAUUGUCUUCAUCACAGUGAAAAGGAAAUUACCAAGGCAAGUGUCUUCUUUCCCUAAGGAAUAAGGAAAUCUGCGUAAUCAUGUGUGUUGUAGGUAAACAUGUCCUCCUGAUCUGAAUCUGUCCCAUGGCUGGAGAGGAUCAAUGAUAGCUUGGAAAUCAGAAUGCUCGAGUUCCUAGCUCCCAGCUGCAUCCUUGCAUUGCUCAGCCAGAUGUCAAAUUGCACAAGAUCGGGAACUCAAGGUUUUUUGCAUGACAGAGUGAUGAAUUUGUGAGACAGAAAGGGGCUUUACACUAGGGCUUUUGUAGGAUAAGCUUGCUUUUGUGUAUAAGCUUGCUUUUGAGACAAACUGCAAAACUGUUCCCCUUACUAUGUCAUAGUUUGCACUGUGGAGUGGACUCAAAGCAACCAGCUGGAUUGUGUCUGCAUGAAGCUAAACUAGAAUGUACAUUUCAGGAGUGAAUAUAAUGUGCUCUGGCAAUGAAUAAUUGUUCAGUUGUUUAGAGCUACAGUCCAAUGUAAAAUCCCUGAAACGCAUAAAGAGUAGAUGUUGGGUCCUCAGCACCAGCUGUUUCACCUUACAGAUCUGCUUCUGUUAUGUUGUGCUACUUGCUUAUAUCUGACAUUUCCUCAGUGUUCAGAAGUUUGAAAGGAGCUGCUACUAAGCUAGUCUAUUGUGUGAGUCACUUUCUGAGUUUUGGAGUAACUGGGAAGAGAACAGAGAGAAAUUGAACAGAUUGAAUCAAUCUGCACAGACUGCUUUCUCAACAAAAGCGACUGCAUCUAGGUACUUCCUAUAGAUAUGCACCAACACCCCUCUUUAGGGUAGAUAAGGAUACAAGCCAACAUGAUAAUGAGUAAAGUUUUAAAUACAUUAGAAGAUUAGUGACAAUCAUAUAACUCAGUAUUGUAUCUCUUUCCUUUCCUUUUUUUUUUUUUUUUUUCUUAUUAUUUUUUCUUAUUAUCUACUUUCUGAAAUAAAUUCAAAAGGUAUUUUUCCAAUUUAGCUUGGAAGGACUGUGAGAUAUGAAUUUGACAGCUUCCUCAGCCUUGUAUUUCCUUUGUGAUUUGAUUCUUCAUCUGUGAAACGGAAAUAGUACCUUACAAAUGUGUCAUGAAGGUAAAUUUAGUAAAUGUAUUGUGAAGCUCUCAGAUGUGCCAAUAGAACCCCUGGCUCAUCUCUCUCUCCGCUAUCAGAUUUGCUUUUUUAUCAGUUUCCCCUCACUAAUAUUAAACAGCCACUUUUCCUGUUGUAAUAUUGACAGCUUACGGUAAUUCUAAUAAUUUAAAAUACUGUUUAUUUAGUGUUUGUCAGAUGGCCUUGUCUAUCUUGUACUAUCUCGUUCUACAUGGAUAUUGCUUUAACAAGUCUCUGUUGUCUCUGCUGUCUGCCUGAAUUUCUUUUGUGAAAUGAUGUAUCUGACAUACCUGACACUUUGUCCUUGACUGAUCAAUGAAUCUGAGGACUAGAAAUCAUUUUAUAAUGUGUUUAUAAUGUGUUAAGAACUAGAUUUUCAAACUGAAGUUCUCACUUUGCAUCCAAGUUUUUUUCUGAAGCCUUCAUGUAAUUCAGACUACACAGGUACAGACUUUUCCUAGUCUCACUUUUUAUUGGGCUCAUUGAUCUGAUUAGAGCCUACCUCUGCAUACAGUUGAAUCAGCAAAACUGGAAGUGCAGAAACUGCAUAGAUCUUGAGCUAGUUUUUCCACCAGAGAAAUCAUAAAGUACUAUUGUGUCUCUUGUCAGACUGACAGUUUUAAAACUGUAUUCAGAGUAUUUUAGGGCUGAGACCUGGUGUGUACACUAAUUUGUCUCAUUUCAACCGUCUGAAAGAAGCUUCAGAUUGCCUUUGGGCUAAAAAAAGAAAAAAAAAAAAAGAAAAAAAGGCUGUUUGUGUAGGAAGAUUCUGCAUAGCCAACAGAAAGUGACAGGAAACGGCCAAGGUGAAAUUGUAAAGCAAUUUCAAGUGGAUAACUAACACCCUUAGGGAACCUUAAGUAGGGGUUCCUACUCUGGUGUAAAAUGGACAUUGUGUCAGAAGAAAAGUCUGUGAAGACCGAGAACUGGAAUAAAAGCUUCUCCUUUCCUCUCAAAUGAGAUGCAGAAACAAAACAAUACUUCUUGUAUUUAAUGUUUAAGGCCUCACUGAAUGUGUAUUUGGUAACUUCAUUUUAUUUUUCACACUUAUUUUUAACACCUAUUAAGUCGCACUUAAUCCCUUGGCAUUAACAAGGCGUGUUGCAAAUAAGCAAAAUAUUUACUAAUAGGAUCCCAAAUUAAUCGCUGUUUGUUAAGUUAAUUGAAAAAAAAUCUUAAAUAGAAAAUUUAAAGAUACUUAUUUAGAAGAUUAAUUUGAAAACAUAUGUAUCUAGAGCCAUAUAUGUAUGCUAAGCAUUCUAACUCUUUGCCUCUUUCAAAGCUUUUUGGGAACAUUCUGUGGUUGUGUAUCUGACUCUACAAUGGAGGUUUGGGGACUUCAGUUGUCCUCUAGAGUUACGCAAGUGUUUGUGCAAUAGCUUCUCUUGAUUUGCAGUUAAUAGUACAGCAAAGAAUCACUCCACAGUGUAUGCUUCAGCAACCUGAAGUCUCAAACCCCAAGAUCAGAUCCUACAAGC